CUAUUUUGGAUAUGAUUAGGGUACAAUUAACUCUCACUAAUUAUAAUAUAGUAAAAGCAAAAAAUACACCAAAUCCCAAAAAACACUCUCGGCUCUCUCUCAUCCGCCUCCACCCUCACCUUCUCCUCCCUCACCUUCUCCACCCUAAUCUUUCUUCCUUUCCUCUCCUCCGCGGACUUCUCCGACCGCCGCCGAGCUCCAGCUCCCUAUUCUGACGCCUCUAUGGAUGCCCGGAUGGUUAAUUUUUUCGAAUCUGUGGAUGAUUUAUUUGUUGUUUGAGAUGUUUGUGGAUGGCUACGGGGGUGGAGGGAGAUGACAGUUCAGAUGAGGCGAAGGGAAGGCGCCGGCGCCGGCGGCCUCGCCGGUGUUGAGAGUGGCGGCGACCAGCGGCAGCCAUGAUUGAGG
Molecule: long non-coding RNA, 405 nt
Filed under: Salvia miltiorrhiza (redroot sage)
Lineage: Eukaryota; Viridiplantae; Streptophyta; Magnoliopsida; Lamiales; Lamiaceae
Description: long non-coding RNA (SMIL_LNC009573)
Source: RNAcentral